RNAcentral lists this transfer RNA (71 nucleotides) under Loxodonta africana (African savanna elephant). It matches the Rfam family "tRNA". Rfam says of the family: Transfer RNA (tRNA) molecules are approximately 80 nucleotides in length. Their secondary structure includes four short double-helical elements and three loops (D, anti-codon, and T loops). Lineage: Eukaryota; Metazoa; Chordata; Mammalia; Proboscidea; Elephantidae. The record is from Rfam by way of RNAcentral.
GUAGUGGUGGUUCAGUGGUAGAAUUCUAGCCUUCCAUGUGGGAGACCCAGGUUCGACUCCUGUCCAGUGCA